UAUCGACAGAAGGCUUCGGGCAGUGGACUCGGGCAUCGGGCCAAGAAGAGCGGUUAUUGUGCCAAGGAUAUCGGAGUUGCGGAGUCAACUGGCCGAUUGGGCAAUAGGCCGCACGAGAGGACGAUGCGCCGAAGAAUCAGACGAAGCGUCGAGGGACCAAUGACAUGCCGGAUAACUUGGUUAAUUGCUUAGGAUUAAUU
This 200-nucleotide long non-coding RNA is filed under the name Musa acuminata (dwarf banana). RNAcentral describes it as "long non-coding RNA (MACU_LNC011493)". The record is from RNAcentral. Lineage: Eukaryota; Viridiplantae; Streptophyta; Magnoliopsida; Zingiberales; Musaceae.